Molecule: non-coding RNA, 829 nt
Organism: Ictidomys tridecemlineatus (thirteen-lined ground squirrel)
Lineage: Eukaryota; Metazoa; Chordata; Mammalia; Rodentia; Sciuridae
Source: RefSeq, a predicted model, not a curated record
UCAAGCCACAGUAAUCACAGUUAACUUUUUACAGCAGCAUAUGGGAAACUAACACAGACCUGAAUAUGCUUCAGUACAACUCGUACACAACAAUGUCAUGAAAAGAACAAUCUGGAAAGAUAAUAAUUAUCUUUCUUAAAUUUGCCAGUUUGAUCUAUUUGAAGAUGAAAAUUUUCUGCUGCUAAUGACUAUGGGGAAUGGUUUGGAAUACGAAACUAUCCAAUUAGACACUCAUGAGACAGUUGUGUAAAAUCCAAGCAGAGUAAUGAGAAUAAUAAGUGUGAUAGUGGAUAAAUAUUGAGCACUUAUUAUGUCCUAGGCUCUACAAGCACUUUGUGGCAUGCUCCGAUUUCACUAACCCUCUCUCUGCCUGAUCCUGGCUUCUCAUCUGCCAAACAAAACAGCAUUUAACAGCAGCUGGUGGGAAACCAACAGAGAAAGAAGGCAAGGUAAGUGGAAGGAUAAAUGUUACUCAUUUCCACUGUCAAAUGGGAAGAGACCCAGUCAUGGAAGAUCUCAUGAACAAUGAGAAAAAAGGAAAGUCAAUGCUGAUGUGCAUACUGGAAGCAAUGAGUGGUCCAGGAGAGCAAUUUCUAGCUUCUUUUUUGCUUCUGGAAUGUGAUUUUUCACAUUUUACAAUGACAUGAAGAGACCUGUCUAAAGGUUCCAUCAACAUCUAUAUUUGUAUGGGAUACAGAGAGAAGACUCUUGAUUUUGACAAAUGUUCCAGGUCUCUCGAUCCGUGUCUAAUGACUCCCUUUACCAGGUCAUGUUUUUUUCUCUGACUCUAUUAUUAACCACCACAUUAAAGAAUAUACGAAACAGCCUA